GGGGGCGUACUGGUUUCGACGUGUUGUUGAGAGCUGUGAGCGCAUGUCGAGCUUUGGCUGAGUAGCUCGUUAAUCAAACAGUCAUAAACAAGAAGUGCAGACUUCAAAACUACUCUCGCCUACGCUUAGUUUGUCGAGAGUUGCGUAACACAUAGUUUACGCCGGGUUUUUUAGUGGUUUAUCUAUCGGUUGCUCUAAAACUCGUAUUAACUUUAGAUAGAUCUGAUUUAGCAAGGUUUUGUUGUUGUAUAGUUAAAUCAGUAUCACAAAACUGCCGUAUAAGCUUACUCUGUCUUUGUAGUUGCUUGUAUGUAUAUACAGAGACUAAACAUGUAGUGCUUGGAGCUUGAUAUAAUGCGGACAUGGGUUCGACUCCCAUCGCCUCCACCA
This 390-nucleotide transfer-messenger RNA is filed under the name Candidatus Babelota bacterium. It matches the Rfam family "transfer-messenger RNA". From Rfam's summary of the family: Bacterial tmRNA, also known as 10Sa RNA or SsrA, is named for its dual tRNA and mRNA-like properties. Its role is to liberate the mRNA from a stalled ribosome. To accomplish this part of the tmRNA is used as a reading frame that ends in a translation stop signal. The record is from RNAcentral. RNAcentral also lists the same sequence under 1 other name.